This 310-nucleotide long non-coding RNA is filed under the name Coturnix japonica (Japanese quail). Its description in RNAcentral is "lncRNA (ENSCJPG00005000668.1)". The record is from RNAcentral. Lineage: Eukaryota; Metazoa; Chordata; Aves; Galliformes; Phasianidae.
CUUAAUUAUAACCAGAUGAGAAGAAACUGAAGGAUUUCUAAACACCGUUGAAGAGAUUCUGGAGGUGAUCCAAUGUAGAAAUCCAGAAGGACUCAACUGCUACACAAAAAUAAGUGAAAAAGGACCUCUGGGCUGCCUGAGAGCAUCAGGAACCAAUUAGCCCAGGAGGUGGACAUCUAAAACCAGAUGGCACCAAGGACUCGCUUUGGAUAUUUCUCACUAAGCACACCUGAAAUUGUCAUCUGGAAAAUUCUCCCACACAUGGAAUGUACAAGUUGUACUGAAUUUUAAAGAUUUACAAGAAGCAAGU